RNAcentral lists this transfer RNA (90 nucleotides) under Crocinitomicaceae bacterium TMED45. RNAcentral describes it as "tRNA-Ser". It matches the Rfam family "tRNA". Rfam says of the family: Transfer RNA (tRNA) molecules are approximately 80 nucleotides in length. Their secondary structure includes four short double-helical elements and three loops (D, anti-codon, and T loops). Further hydrogen bonds mediate the characteristic L-shaped molecular structure. tRNAs have two regions of fundamental functional importance: the anti-codon, which is responsible for specific mRNA codon recognition, and the 3' end, to which the tRNAs corresponding amino acid is attached (by aminoacyl-tRNA synthetases). tRNAs cope with the degeneracy of the genetic code in two manners: having more than one tRNA (with a specific anti-codon) for a particular amino acid; and 'wobble' base-pairing, i.e. permitting non-standard base-pairing at the 3rd anti-codon position. The record is from RNAcentral. Lineage: Bacteria; Pseudomonadati; Bacteroidota; Flavobacteriia; Flavobacteriales; Crocinitomicaceae.
GGAGAGAUGGCAGAGUGGUUGAAUGCACCGGUCUUGAAAACCGGCAAAGGCGCAAGUCUUUCGUGAGUUCGAAUCUCACUCUCUCCGCCA